UCGAGCGGAUGAGAGGAGCUUGCUCCUGGAUUCAGCGGCGGACGGGUGAGUAAUGCCUAGGAAUCUGCCUGGUAGUGGGGGACAACGUUUCGAAAGGAACGCUAAUACCGCAUACGUCCUACGGGAGAAAGCAGGGGACCUUCGGGCCUUGCGCUAUCAGAUGAGCCUAGGUCGGAUUAGCUAGUUGGUGAGGUAAUGGCUCACCAAGGCGACGAUCCGUAACUGGUCUGAGAGGAUGAUCAGUCACACUGGAACUGAGACACGGUCCAGACUCCUACGGGAGGCAGCAGUGGGGAAUAUUGGACAAUGGGCGAAAGCCUGAUCCAGCCAUGCCGCGUGUGUGAAGAAGGUCUUCGGAUUGUAAAGCACUUUAAGUUGGGAGGAAGGGCAGUAAAUUAAUACUUUGCUGUUUUGACGUUACCGACAGAAUAAGCACCGGCUAACUCUGUGCCAGCAGCCGCGGUAAUACAGAGGGUGCAAGCGUUAAUCGGAAUUACU
Molecule: ribosomal RNA, 498 nt
Filed under: Pseudomonas sp.
Lineage: Bacteria; Pseudomonadati; Pseudomonadota; Gammaproteobacteria; Pseudomonadales; Pseudomonadaceae
Description: bacterial SSU rRNA
Rfam family: Bacterial small subunit ribosomal RNA
Source: RNAcentral